AUGGGAUCGAAUGCCAUGCCAUCGCCAGCUCGAAUGCUACUUAUUUGAAAUCGCGUUUUCAGUUUAAAAAUGAAUGGUUUCAGUACUCCUAAAUAAUAGCCCCGUCACAAAUACGAUAAAAUAUGGCGUUUUAGCCUACUUCCUGGUGAUCCAUUCAGGAUUCCUGUGGUUGGCAUUGAGGAGAGGGGCAAGGGAGACCUGCCACAGGAAUCUCAAUCACAGCAAGAGUAACAAUGCCUAAGAAAGGCACAGGAACCCCAAUCACAGCGAGAGUAAUAACGACUAGGCUAAAGAGGGUGAUUAUUGACUUCUCAAACUAUGGCAAAUGGUUCACUUGCCUUCCAGCCUAGUAGUUCAGCAAGUGCCAAACAGCCAUCGUCUGUUGUUCCAAGCCAUGCAACAUCCCUGGUAAACAAGAGAUCAUUCUGUUAUGGCGUAAAGACAAGUAAAGACAUCUGACGUUACUUAUGGUGAUAGUAACUACAAAUUAGGCAAUUUGGAGGUUCAGACAACAGACUGCCUACCCUCACAUGUCAUAGCCAAUUCAGAGAUUCUUGUAAGAAAGUUACACUAAACACACUGUA
Long non-coding RNA from Nematostella vectensis (starlet sea anemone), 584 nucleotides. RefSeq lists it as uncharacterized. The record is from RefSeq and is a predicted model, not a curated record. The transcript has 2 exons. Lineage: Eukaryota; Metazoa; Cnidaria; Anthozoa; Actiniaria; Edwardsiidae.